UACGUAGGGUGCAAGCGUUAAUCGGAAUUACUGGGCGUAAAGCGUGCGCAGGCGGUGAUGUAAGACAGAUGUGAAAUCCCAGGGCUCAACCUUGGAACUGCAUUUGUGACUGCAUCGCUGGAGUGCGGCAGAGGGGGAUGGAAUUCCGCGUGUAGCAGUGAAAUGCGUAGAUAUGCGGAGGAACACCGAUGGCGAAGGCAGCCCCCUGGGAUAACACUGACGCUCAUGCACGAAAGCGUGGGGAGCAAACAGG
This 253-nucleotide ribosomal RNA is filed under the name uncultured bacterium. RNAcentral describes it as "partial 16S ribosomal RNA". It matches the Rfam family "Bacterial small subunit ribosomal RNA", at positions 524 to 776 of the family's 1533-position model. The record is from RNAcentral.